CCUACGGGAGGCUGCAGUCGGGAAUUUUGGGCAAUGGGCGAAAGCCUGACCCAGCAACGCCGCGUGAAGGAUGAAGCAUUUCGGUGUGUAAACUUCGCAAGAACAGGAAGAAUAAGCUUAGGAUAACACCCUGAGCGAUGACGGUACUGUUUAUAAGCUCCGGCUAACUUCGUGCCAGCAGCCGCGGUAAUACGAGGGGAGCAAGCGUUGUUCGGAUUUACUGGGCGUAAAGGGUGCGUAGGCGGCACCACAAGUCACUUGUGAAAUCUUUGGGC
Molecule: ribosomal RNA, 275 nt
Filed under: uncultured bacterium
Lineage: Bacteria
Description: partial 16S ribosomal RNA
Rfam family: Bacterial small subunit ribosomal RNA
Source: RNAcentral